RNAcentral lists this ribosomal RNA (492 nucleotides) under uncultured bacterium. RNAcentral describes it as "partial 16S ribosomal RNA". It matches the Rfam family "Bacterial small subunit ribosomal RNA", at positions 29 to 507 of the family's 1533-position model. The record is from RNAcentral.
AGUGAACGCUGGCGGUAGGCCUAACACAUGCAGGUCGAACGGCAGCACAGUAAGAGCUUGCUCUUACGGGUGGCGAGUGGCGGACGGGUGAGGAAUACAUCGGAAUCUACUUUUUCGUGGGGGAUAACGUAGGGAAACUUACGCUAAUACCGCAUACGACCUACGGGUGAAAGCAGGGGAUCUUCGGACCUUGCGCGAUUGAGUGAGCCGAUGUCGGAUUAGCUAGUUGGCGGGGUAAAGGCCCACCAAGGCGACGAUCCGUAGCUGGUCUGAGAGGAUGAUCAGCCACACUGGAACUGAGACACGGUCCAGACUCCUACGGGAGGCAGCAGUGGGGAAUAUUGGACAAUGGGCGCAAGCCUGAUCCAGCCAUACCGCGUGGGUGAAGAAGGCCUUCGGGUUGUAAAGCCCUUUUGUUGGGAAAGAAAAGCAGCAGGUUAAUACCCCGCUGUUCUGACGGUACCCAAAGAAUAAGCACCGGCUAACUUCGUG